GAUGAACGCUGGCGGCGUGCCUAAUACAUGCAAGUCGAGCGAAGAGACGAGGAGCUUGCUCCUCUGACGUUAGCGGCGGACGGGUGAGUAACACGUGGAUAACCUACCUAUAAGACUGGGAUAACUGCGGGAAACCGGAGCUAAUACCGGAUAAUAUAUUGAACCGCAUGGUUCAAUAGUGAAAGACGGUUUUGCUGUCACUUAUAGAUGGAUCCGCGCCGCAUUAGCUAGUUGGUAAGGUAACGGCUUACCAAGGCAACGAUGCGUAGCCGCCCUGAGAGGGUGAUCGGCCACACUGGAACUGAGACACGGUCCAGACUCCUACGGGAGGCAGCAGUAGGGAAUCUUCCGCAAUGGGCGAAAGCUUGACGGAGCAACGCCGCGUGAGUGAUGAAGGUCUUCGGAUCGUAAAACUCUGUUAUUAGGGAAGAACAAAUGUGUAAGUAACUAUGCACGUCUUGACGGUACCUAAUCAGAAAGCCACGGCUAACUACGUG
Molecule: ribosomal RNA, 497 nt
Filed under: uncultured bacterium
Lineage: Bacteria
Description: partial 16S ribosomal RNA
Rfam family: Bacterial small subunit ribosomal RNA
Source: RNAcentral